UACGAAGGACCCGAGCGUUAUCCGGAUUUAUUGGGUUUAAAGGGUGCGUAGGCGGAUUUAUAAGUCAGUGGUGAAAGCCUAUAGCUUAACUAUAGAAUUGCCAUUGAUACUGUAAGUCUUGAGUACAGUUGAGGUGGGCGGAAUGUGCAGUGUAGCGGUGAAAUGCUUAGAUAUUGCACAGAACACCUAUUGCGAAGGCAGCUCGCUAAGCUGUAACCGACGCUGAGGCACGAAAGUGUGGGUAGCGAACAGG
Molecule: ribosomal RNA, 253 nt
Filed under: uncultured bacterium
Lineage: Bacteria
Description: partial 16S ribosomal RNA
Rfam family: Bacterial small subunit ribosomal RNA
Source: RNAcentral